GUUUAAAUAGCUUAUAAAGAGCAUAACACUGAAGAUGUUAGGGAGAUUUUAGGAUCUUUAAACA
This 64-nucleotide transfer RNA is filed under the name Paegniodes cupulatus. Its description in RNAcentral is "tRNA-Phe". The record is from RNAcentral. Lineage: Eukaryota; Metazoa; Arthropoda; Insecta; Ephemeroptera; Heptageniidae.